GCGGGCGUGGCGAAACGGUAGACGCGCCGGCCUUAGGAGCCGGUGGGCGAAAGCCCGUGGGGGUUCAAGUCCCUCCGCCCGCA
This 83-nucleotide transfer RNA is filed under the name Actinomycetes bacterium. Its description in RNAcentral is "Actinobacteria bacterium tRNA-Leu". It matches the Rfam family "tRNA". Rfam says of the family: Transfer RNA (tRNA) molecules are approximately 80 nucleotides in length. Their secondary structure includes four short double-helical elements and three loops (D, anti-codon, and T loops). The record is from RNAcentral. Lineage: Bacteria; Bacillati; Actinomycetota; Actinomycetes. RNAcentral also lists the same sequence under 2 other names.